AGGAAACCGAAGACUCGUAAUCGGAGCCAAACAUUUCAGAAAAAGCAGAAAAUGAGUUCAUUGAUCAGAAGAGUACUCUGUUUCAAGAAACUGGAUAAGGUAACUAAAAGAUCUCUGUCUUUUUUGUUGGUAUGGUUUGCUGAAAUAAUAGUUUCUCUCUCUUUCUGUUCUAGUUCAGGUGGAUUUAAUGUUUGUAGAUAAAUAAAAGUUGGAGUGAGAGCAUGCUGUUUUAUAAUGGCGGAAGAUAUUUUAGAGGCAAAAGAAAAGGCGAAGACGGAGUUUGUGUCUCUGGUAAUGCCACGUAAACUAUACACAGCGAAGCAAUUGUAAAAUGAGUAGUUUAAGGAUUCACUCAUUAAGAUCUGCCAUGUGUCCAGAGAAGACUUUUUUUGACUUAUUCACUCGUUAUUAUUAUACCUUUAUGAGUUUUAUAAACUCUUUGCGUAUGAAUGUGUGGCUGUUAAGGAUUUAGUGUACUAGGUGUAGGGUAACCGUUAUUCAUUAUUAUAUUCCUGAAUAAAGAAAUUGUCGUUAAUUGUUCACCCGUGUAUUAGACAUAAAGAUUGUGAGAGGAUAUUUAAAGAUGCUCUUCUUGUGUAAUUUCUCCCAUUCUUAUAGCACAUCCUUCUAGAAUAUGAAUUGGG
RNAcentral lists this long non-coding RNA (644 nucleotides) under Arabidopsis thaliana (thale cress). RNAcentral's name for it is "long non-coding RNA (ATHA_LNC000294)". The record is from RNAcentral. Lineage: Eukaryota; Viridiplantae; Streptophyta; Magnoliopsida; Brassicales; Brassicaceae.